CUAGGACCACCGCCAUAUAUUGACACAUUGAAGUACCUGCCCAGAUAUUUUAAACCCUAGGACCACCGCCAUAUAUUGACACACUGAAGUACUUGCCCAGAUAUUUUAAACCCUCUCUAAUAUUCGAGGGGUGUCUACUCCAUUCACAUUUCGUAAGGGAGCUCUCUCUAAUAUUCGAAGAGUGUCUACUCCACUCACAUUUCGUAAGGGAGAGAUUAACCCCCAUAAAGCUCUUAUGGAGUCUCGAACUCUUGCACUCAAUAUUGUAAGUGCAAG
RNAcentral lists this long non-coding RNA (276 nucleotides) under Citrus sinensis (sweet orange). RNAcentral's name for it is "long non-coding RNA (CSIN_LNC000726)". The record is from RNAcentral. Lineage: Eukaryota; Viridiplantae; Streptophyta; Magnoliopsida; Sapindales; Rutaceae.